RNAcentral lists this ribosomal RNA (399 nucleotides) under uncultured bacterium. Its description in RNAcentral is "bacterial SSU rRNA". It matches the Rfam family "Bacterial small subunit ribosomal RNA", at positions 335 to 755 of the family's 1533-position model. The record is from RNAcentral.
ACUCCUACGGGAGGCAGCAGUGGGGAAUAUUGGACAAUGGGCGAAAGCCUGAUCCAGCCAUGCCGCGUGAGUGAUGAAGGCCUUAGGGUUGUAAAGCUCUUUUGUCCGGGAAGAUAAUGACUGUACCGGAAGAAUAAGCCCGCUACUCUGUGCCAGCAGCCGCGGUAAUACGAAGGGCGUCAGCGUUGUUCGGAAUCACUGGGCGUAAAGCGCACGUAGGCGGGCCGUUAAGUCGGGGUGAAAGCCUGGAGCUCAACUCCAGAACUGCCUUCGAUACUGGCGGCCUUGAGUGUGGUAGAGGUUGGUGGAACUCCGAGUGUAGAGGUGAAAUUCGUAGAUAUUCGGAAGAACACCAGUGGCGAAGGCGGCCAACUGGACCAUUACUGACGCUGAGGUGCG